RNAcentral lists this long non-coding RNA (9463 nucleotides) under Lathyrus oleraceus (garden pea). Its description in RNAcentral is "Pisum sativum (pea) long non-coding RNA (PSAT_LNC037724)". The record is from RNAcentral. Lineage: Eukaryota; Viridiplantae; Streptophyta; Magnoliopsida; Fabales; Fabaceae.
AAAAACAAAAAAAACAAAAUCUCCCAACGUCUCUCUCCAUCCACUCCCAACAGACCCUGCUCCACUACCUCUCCUCUCUCUCGUACCAGAAAAGACAAAAAAAGAAAAUAGAUAAAUGGGAACGUUACUCUCUCACUCUCAGACCACUAUUCACUCUCUCAAAAAAAAGACAAUCUCUCAAUUUCCUCUCAACUCUGAGCUCACACAAUCCCCUUCCUCUCUCGCCCCAAAUCUCUCACUCUCAAUUCUCAGCUGAAACUCUCACCGACAAACCCUCCUCUCUAAAAUCCGCCGCCACCACCUUCUACCACCACUAAACACUCACCAACCGUCAACCCUCCGAAUCCUUCAUCAUCUUCGUCAUCGCAACUCAACCGUUCACCGCCACCCAAAACCCCUACCGUCGCGGCGACUUCCACCUUCAAACCCUUAAACCACCUUCGAAACACCGUCAAAACCGCCGUCGCUCUCACCGGCAAACUCUCUCCAUCUACCUUCAAAUCGCGCCCUCACCGACAAACCCACACGAAACCUACUCAUCUCACAAUCUCCAAGCCGUCACCAUCCAUCAUCGCUUCCGUCCACAAUCGCGACCCAUCUUCACCGCUAAAACCUAAUCUCUAAAUCCGCCGUCAUCACCGUACCGAAGCCGUCGGUGACUUGUCAGUUCGCAACUAUCUUCGACCUUCAUCAACAGUUUGGGAUUGUGUUGUGUAAUUUUUCUGUUUUUUCAGGGAAAGUCUGAAGCUUUAGAGCCAUGGGUCCAGCACCGGUGACGAUUACAACUAGCCUCUGUUGAUAGCUUCAAAAGGAUUUUCUUAUGAUUCUGGAAACGGUUUCAAGUCGCGCUGAUUCCUCUUCUUCCGCAACAACCACAAAGACCGUUAUUACUCUACCACUCUCAGCACGGCGUCGAAACCGCUUCUUGUCCACAUUAAAGCAAGCCGGGCAGAUUGUUGAAACACCAUGGAUACGGGGAUUGGGUGGAAGAUCUCAGGCUGUUGCUGAUGAUGUACUCCUGAAAUAAGCUCUUGACAACUAUCCGUCUGUACGGUAACAGAUCGAUUUAAGCUUAUUUUAGAAUUAUGAUUGUUUCAUGACAGUAUUUGAUAUCUCUGGAUAAUGUGUGUGUUUGUGAUUUUUAUCUUCCGAUUCGUUCUGGUGGUAGAUGGUAUCAACAUAUUUUAUGCUGAAAAUUUCGUUGAGGAUUGUAAAUUUUUUCUCUGAAUAUUGUUACUCUGUGUCGUUACUGUUUCGUUUUGUGUUGAUACUACAAUAGCCCUGUAUAUAAUCACAAUUUGCGGUGACAUACUUUGAUACCAUUUUUAUUGUACAUAUUCAACUCUUGAUUAUGACUUGUUUUAGCUAUAUCAAAAGGAUUUGUUUUGUAUUGCCUGUGAAGUUUAUAGUUGCUUGUAGUAUCUCGUUCAUUUUUCAUUUGAAUUGAGAUUUGGAUUAUGAAUACCAACGUGCUUGCUUAUACACAACUUAUGCGACUUUCAGUUUGGAUUAUAUUUGGGAAGAUAUUUUAAGUGGGAACUGUAUUAAAAUUCUGCUCUUGAAUUAUUAGAUUAGUUUGUGGAUGGAUCACUAUUGUUGGUGCAAAUGAGUUAUUAGCCCACGGCAUUAUCAGAAUUCUAAUAAUCUCAUGAUUGGUUUACAACGAUUUUCUCAAAUGCAUGUUGUUUUUAUUGCUGAAAUUUAAAUUGGAUUAUCAAUUGCCUAAUGGACUUUAUAGUGUAUAUAUAAGUCUACUUUAAUCAUAAGGCAUNAGUUCCUUCCUUGAAAACACAAACUUUAGAACCUACCCUUGGGAAUUUCUAGUAAUCAGAAAAACCCGUAUUUCUUCCUGUUAUCCUGACGUACCCGACGUGUGAAUAAUCUUAAGUCUGUAUUCCUUUGCAAAAAACAUGGCAAAAUUUCAUGCAUUUGCAUAUCAUCAACAUGCAUUGCAUAUCAUCUCCCAGAAACAAAAUCUCACACCAUGUUCUGCCCUUUGUCCAGUAAACGCUGACUACUCGACACCGGUACGAGACACGCCGCAAUUACAAGAUGACACUUGAACAGCUUGAAGCUAACCAAGUUUCGAUGAGGACCGACAUUGACUCCAUGCAGGCAAAGAUGGAUCGCUUGCUUGAGACCAUGUUACUCUUGGCUCAGAAGGAGAAGGAUGCUGAGACUAACGCCGAAGCCAGGAAAAUUGCUGCCCAAUUUGGAUCACCAUCGCUCAGUAUCCCUGGAGUGAUUGACCUUGAUGGUAACCCUAAUCAGCCUAGAGAAGGACCGAUCCCUAUUCCGAUCCCAAUGGACAAUAUAAAACCCCACGAGCAUUCUACUGUAUCUGCUCGACACGGAUCUGUGAUAUGUGAUGAAGAUCCAUAUGACGCUUUCUUCAUGCCACAGCCCGUCCAGCCUGCUGUUGGAGGUCUCCCAGACCCAGCUGUUGACAGACUCCAUGCGUUGGAGGAAAAGUUUAAGUCCUUGGAGGUUCACACUACUCCCGGUUUGGACGCCGUCGAUAUGUGCUUGGUGCCAGGCCUUGUGAUUCCACAGAAGUUCAAAGUCCCGGACUUUGACAAGUACAAAGGGAUCAGCUGCCCAAGAACACACCUCAGAGCUUACUGCCGCAAAAUGGCCGCCCACAUCAGUAAUGAUCAACUCCUGAUUCAUUACUUCCAAGAUAGUCUCAGUGGGGCAUCUUUGGAGUGGUACAUGCAACUGGAGAGAGGACAGGUCCAAUCAUGGAGAGACCUUGCUGAAGCAUUCCUCAGGCAUUAUCAGUACAACACUGAUCUAGCACCCAAUCGCACCCAACUGCAAGACAUGACUCAACGCAACAAUGAGUCAUUCAAAGAAUACGCCCAGCGGUGGAGAGAGCUAGCAGCUCGUGUUCAACCUCCUCUCUUUGACAAAGAGCUAAUUGACAUGUUUAUGGGAACCCUACACACCCAGUACAUGGAGAAGAUGGUAGGAUCCAGUUUCCCAACUUUUGCUGAGGUCGUCUCCGUGGGAGAACGAAUCGAGAGCCAGAUCAAGAAGGGGAAACUACCUUGCGCUGCUAAUGCUUCAAGUGGGAUGAAGAAACCUUAUCCUAAUCUCCCAAAGAAGCCAGAAGGUCAAACCAAUUCCAUAAUGGGAGGAGGAGGAUAUAGGGCACGCCCGUAUGCUCCUAUGCCUUAUAAUCAGGUUGCCGCUGUCGUCCCGACACCAUAUCAGCCUCCAUAUCAGCAACCCCAUCAACAACAAUAUCAACAGCCUUAUCAACAAACAGCUUAUCAGCAUCAGAAUCAACAUCGACGUGCUCCACAACCACGUCCCCCCAAUCAGCAGAGGGCAAGGAGGCCAGAAAGGCAUUUCGAUCCUUUGCCAGUAUCAUAUAGCAAGAUCCUCCCCUACCUGCUAAAGGAUGGAUCGGUCGUUCUGAAGGAGAUAACACCUGUAACUCCACCAUAUCCUCCAGGCUACGACGCCAAUGCUCACUGUGAGUAUCACAUGGGUGCUCCAGGGCACACAAUAGAGAACUGUAAGGCUUUCAAGCACAAGGUUCAAGAUUUGGUUGACAGUAAAGCACUUACAUUCACGCCAGUGAGGCCAAACGUUGCAACAAACCCCAUGCCGGCGCAUGCAGAAUCAAGUGAAGCUCGAAGGUAAAGCUUCCCACCGGCCUAAACAAGCAGAGCAAUUCCGCUGAAGAACCCAGAGAUGAAGGCUUGUUCAUUUGAAUGAAGGCAAUCCUGAUGCCAUUUUUACCAUUUUGCAUUCUUGUAAUUUGAUCUUGUUUGUCUAAGUACUGUACGCUUUAAACAUUGUUAUUUGUAUUUGGUUUUGUUAAUGGGAUGGUUAUGCAUGCUUUGAAUCAAUCUUUCNGGAUGAAACCCUGCUGAUGAUGUACAGGCAUUGUUUCAAAUCCCCAAACACUGGAGAGAUAAGGAGUUAAUCCCUAGUCAACCACUUCGAGCCUAGAAGUAGGAGUUUCUUUCAGAUCUAAAAAACCUUUACGCUUAACCUGGGGCAGGGUAGUGUUCAGUUAACCUGACUACACAUACAAAUUACAAAGGUGAAGUAUCCCAUACGAGGAUCAACCAUAUGACACUCUUCACACACAUCAUGAAGUGUCGAAGGAACCAUACAAAUCCAGAAUCUAUGUCGGUUGUUCUUCAAUGACCAAUGUCCUGGCAGUCACAAUUAAAAAAAAGGUCGAAGAAAGAGCCCGCUAAGUCGAACACCCUAAAAGGAGACUUAGGCAAAAAACAGGGGCAAUCCCGAUGGAUUAAAGCUUCAAACAAAGCGGUCCAUGCAAAAGUUAGGGAUCAAAACAAAAAAUCGAAAGAGACAAUGAAAGUCCUCAACAAAAGCAAAACAAGAUUCAGUGACCACCAUACCAAAAUCAAAGGGUCGCCGACAUCCAAAAAAACGAAAUAAGGUGGCUGCCAUUCCAAGGGACUUUGAACCACCAUCUUUAUCCUUACACAUGCAAGAGAAGAAUGUGUGUGAAUUAACUGAACAUAGGAUUGGAGAUCAUCAUGAAGAAGGGGUGGGUUAAAAUAAACUUUGAGCCUUAUAUCCUUUUGUUUCAAAACCAUCGACCAACACAGCAACGCCUCAAAAGACCAAGUUGAGUAGUGGUUUAUUCUGAAAGCAUACAUACAAGUUAGUAACUGACUCCUAAAUAUUUUCCAAUAUUCUCCUCUCACUAUAUCACUCACACACUAGCUAAAUCAAGCACCGCGUUUGGACACAUGAUCCACUCGCCACACACUACCACAACACUUCCCAAAUGAAUGAUUAUUUUUCAAAACUUGCAUAACUGUUGCAUUAACAUCACCAUUUCGUAGAUAACAAUUCUUAAUUGUCAGUCAGUGCUUGACAUCGGAAAAUUCCAACAAGGAGUAAUUCAACGGGCACUUGAUUGUUGGUGCUGACACGAAUCCAGACCAUCCUGUGAAUCAGGGGCAUGGCAUCUUUUGAUCAUAUUGACCUAAGAAGUAGUCUGUGUAAGACAAAUCUCCAAGCAUCGGUUGAUCAGGGAGAAAAACACUUCAGUACUCGGCCCGUCUGAAGCAGGUCCCUCAAAGGCUAAUCAGGGGCAGACCAUAGCCAGAUUUGGACAUCAGGAAACAAACUCAGACCAUGUCAUGGGAUAAUCACUCCUAAGGUUUCUUGCAGGGAGAAUUCCUUUGAACACCCUACAAACAGGGGCAAGACAAGUUGCAAGGGGCAAAAUUCCCUUCAUAUCUUCAAGACAGUCAGGCAGAUUGCGUCAAACAUUAGUGACUGCUUGAAUUCACAACCAAAAUGUCAAAAGUUCGUACCAGUACAACAUCAUGCCUUGACAAGAAUCCUUGAGGCACGUCAAAAGCACAAUCAUCAUGCGCUGAUCACGUCGCUAUGCUCAGUUACAAGCUGGCCAAACACUUCAGAAGAAGAAACCAAGAUCUUCUCAAAGACAAAUACUCAACAUAUCAGCAAGAGAUCAAACCUGGGGCACCAAGAGUAUCCACAUCCAUUUCGUGUUCAUCAUAUCAUCAACUACUGAGUGUCGGGAAUGUCAGAUCCUUUCACCAAUCAAUAGCAUAUCCACAUUGACAAUUACCAAAAAAACCUAAAGCCCACAUUGUUGGCACCCACAUAAAACCAAAUAUAACCAACUUUGGUUUCCAGAAGAUGCAUUGCCUUUGAAAGGGGGGCCAAUCCCAAACAAACCAAUCAUUCUUUGCAUACAAACAUGCAUUUCAUGCAUCAUAUGCAUCACCUCAUACAUAAUACAUACAUAUCAUUCAUGUACAUAACACAAAUCAAGAUCCAAGGUUUAGUCGUAGGCAUACAGGCCAACCCUCAGUUGAGUCGUUAUUUUUCUCUGAGUGAGUUCCUACCCUACUAUCGGGCGUUCCCCAUUGAGUUACAUCCUUCAACCUUUUGUUGAUAAGAUGUUAUCCUCAGCUUAGUCAAACAAUGUUUCUUUAAACACCUAUUUUUUUUUUCACGUUGAGCGUCCCUCAAUGAGUCGUUUCCCAUAACCUUUUGUUGACAGAAAUUACAUCUCCCCAGAGAACAUUGGCUCUGCAACCUUUUGUUGUUGAUACCCCCAAGCAAGUCUUACCCAAUAAUGUCCCAAUACUACCCAACAAAUCGGGUUUACUGGACUUUGACAGUAGCCUUAUUUUUCCAAUAUUUUUCUCACUACCAUCCUUUUGGUGAAAGUCCAUGGAGGAAUAAUACCAGUCAUCACCUUGUUUAUGAUCACCGUUAUCCUUUUGGUAAUGGUAAAUUCUUGACAUUUGUGAUCUUACUGUCAUCCUUUUGGUGUCGAAGAUCAUUGAAGUUUUAAGCUAACCUUCAUCCUUUUGAAUCACCUUGUUUAUGAUCACCGUUAUCCUUUUGGUAAUGGUAAAUUCUUGACAUUUGUGAUCUUACUGUCAUCCUUUUGGUGUCGAAGAUCAUUGAAGUUUUAAGCUAACCUUCAUCCUUUUGGUGAUGGUGACCUCUGCAAUUAUUACACCCCACUGUCAUCCUUUUGGUGUCAGUAAUAUUUGAAGUCAUUAUAACUUAUUAUCAUCCUUUUGGUGGUAACGAGUUUCGAAGUUAUGAUUCCACCUUCAUCCUUUUGGUGAUGGUGAUUGUUGAUUCAUUAUCAUCCUUUUGGUGAUAACGAGUUCUGUUGUUUGUAGCGCCUUCAUCCUUUUGGUGAUGGUGACUAUUGACUUAUUAUCAUCCUUUUGGUGGUAACAAGUUUUGUCGUUUUAACAAUACCUUCAUCCUUUUGGUGAUGGUGAGUGUUGACUUCUUAUCAUCCUUUUGGUGAUAACAAGUUUGUGUCUUGAUCUUACCUUCAUCCUUUUGGUGAUGGCGAUCAUUUGUGUUGUCAGCUUAUUAUCAUCCUUUUGGUGGUAACUAAGUUUUGUCGUUUGACAAAUACCUUCAUCCUUUUGGUGAUGGUGAUUGUUGACUUCUUAUCAUCCUUUUGGUGAUAACAAGUUUGUGUUUUGAUCUUACCUUCAUCCUUUUGGUGAUGGUGAUCAUUUGCGUGUGUGCUUCUUAUCAUCCUUUUGGUGGUAACAAGUUUUAUCUUUUGAUUAUACCUUCAUCCUUUUGGUGAUGGUGGUUAUCAUCCUUUUGGUGAUAACAAGUUUGUGUCUUGAUCCUACCUUCAUCCUUUUGGUGAUGGUGAUCAAUUGUGUUGUGUUCUUAUUAUCAUCCUUUUGGUGAUAACAAGUUUGUGUCCUGAUUAUACCUUCAUCCUUUUGGUGAUGGUGAUUAUUGAAGUUAUCUGACUUAUUAUCAUCCUUUUGGUGAUAACAAGCUUUGUUGUUGGAUCUUACCUUCAUCCUUUUGGUGACGGUGAUCUUUGAAGUUUAUGAGUUAACUAUCAUCCUUUUGGUGAUAGCCUUGAUCCUAUACUCUCAGUAAUGGAAAAAUUUACCAGAAUGACCAUCAUCCUUUUGGUGAUAGAAAUCUGUGAAUUGUGUCUAACUUUCAUCCUUUAGGUGAUAGCGAGAUUUGUUGUUGAUCUGACCAUCAUCCUUUUGGUGAUGGCGAUCUUUGUUGCACCCACUGUAACCAUUAUCCUUUUGGUGAUGACUACCUUAAAAGCUCAGCUUAUCCAUCAUCCUUUUGGUGAUGACAAUCCUCAAAAUCAUGGUGAAUCUCUGUCAUCCUUUUGGUGUCAGAAAACCAGUCCCACCUUUGUCUUCACAUCAGAAAUAACCUGUGCCAGAUUUGAAUGUUGACUCGAGGGUUGGCAUUGAUCGAACAUCCUACCCCCAUUACCUUGGCAUCCAUUGCAUUUUCAUCUGCAUCUCUCCAUUGCAUUUCAAAGGACAAAAUUUGGAUCCUUUAGUAUUUAAUUACCUUCCACCACGAAUGUAUGAUGACCUUUAUCAUUCUUACUUUCUAGUUCAAGAUAAUUAAAUAGGGGCAGCUGUCGUACCCCAAUUUUGUCCGGGCAUUUUUAAUUUUUUCAAAAUUAAUUUCAGUUUCAUUUUUGCAUCAUACGCAUAGCAUGACAUACAUUUGCAUCAUGAAUAAACACCUAAAAUGUCAGUCAGAAGGAAUUUAUUUGAGAAUACAGAAAAAAUCGGUUGAAUCGUUAAAAUUUGAGAAAAGACUGUAUUUUUAAUAAGUAGGUUUUGUGCUGACAAUUUUAAUGUGACUGGUUUAUUUAUUAUUAUUAUUUUUUUUAUUUUUUUAUUUUCUUUCUUUUUUCGAAUUAAAUUUGUACUCGAUUUUUUUUAAUUGGUCAAAUAUUAGUUAGAGUUUUUUUUUAAAUAUUAUUUAAUUAAAUAUUAGUUAAUGUUUUUUAUAUUAAUUAGUUUUUUUAUAUUAGUUAGAUUUUUUCUAAAAUAGUAGUUAAUUUUAGUUUUUAAAUAUUAAUUAGUUUGUUUAGUUAGAUUUUGUAAAAUAUUAGUUAGAGUAUUUUUUUUUUAAUAUUAAUUAGUUUUUCUAAAUAUUAGUUAGUUUUUAAAUAUUAGUUAGAUUUUUCUUUUUAAUAUUAAUUAGUUUUUUUUAGUGUUAAUUAGUUUAAGAGUUAGUUAGCUUUUUUAUUAGUUAAUUUUUAAAUAGUAGUUAGUUAGAGUUUUUAAAAUAUUAAUUAGUUUUUUUAUUUUUUAUGAAUAUAUGUAUUUUACAUUGGAUUCCAAUCCAUAAAAAAACAAAAAAAACAAAAUCUCCCAACGUCUCUCUCCAUCCACUCCCAACAGACCCUGCUCCACUACCUCUCCUCUCUCUCGUACCAGAAAAGACAAAAAAAGAAAAUAGAUAAAUGGGAACGUUACUCUCUCACUCUCAGACCACUAUUCACUCUCUCAAAAAAAAGACAAUCUCUCAAUUUCCUCUCAACUCUGAGCUCACACAAUCCCCUUCCUCUCUCGCCCCAAAUCUCUCACUCUCAAUUCUCAGCUGAAACUCUCACCGACAAACCCUCCUCUCUAAAAUCCGCCGCCACCACCUUCUACCACCACUAAACACUCACCAACCGUCAACCCUCCGAAUCCUUCAUCAUCUUCGUCAUCGCAACUCAACCGUUCACCGCCACCCAAAACCCCUACCGUCGCGGCGACUUCCACCUUCAAACCCUUAAACCACCUUCGAAACACCGUCAAAACCGCCGUCGCUCUCACCGGCAAACUCUCUCCAUCUACCUUCAAAUCGCGCCCUCACCGACAAACCCACACGAAACCUACUCAUCUCACAAUCUCCAAGCCGUCACCAUCCAUCAUCGCUUCCGUCCACAAUCGCGACCCAUCUUCACCGCUAAAACCUAAUCUCUAAAUCCGCCGUCAUCACCGUACCGAAGCCGUCGGUGACUUGUCAGUUCGCAACUAUCUUCGACCUUCAUCAACAGUUUGGGAUUGUGUUGUGUAAUUUUUCUGUUUUUUCAGGGAAAGUCUGAAGCUUUAGAGCCAUGGGUCCAGCACCGGUGACGAUUACAACUAGCCUCUGUUGAUAGCUUCAAAAGGAUUUUCUU